This 881-nucleotide ribosomal RNA is filed under the name uncultured bacterium. Its description in RNAcentral is "bacterial SSU rRNA". It matches the Rfam family "Bacterial small subunit ribosomal RNA", at positions 500 to 1397 of the family's 1533-position model. The record is from RNAcentral.
AAUUCGAUUCAGCAGCCGCGGUAAUACGUAGGCCCCGAACGUUAUCCGGAGUUACUGGGCGUAAAGAGUCCGUAGCCGGCUAAGUAAGUCUGCCUUCAAAGACUGAAGCUCAACUUCAGGAGGGGGGUAGAUACUGCUUAGCUAGAGAUACUGGGGGGUUAGUGGAAUUCCCGGUGGAGCGGUGAAAUGCGUUGAUAUCGGGAGGAACGCCGAAAGUGAAGACAGCUAACUACUGGUAAUCUGACGGUGAGGGACGAAAGCGUAGGGAGCGAACAGGAUUAGAUACCCUGGUAGUCUACGCUGUAAACGAUGUGAGCUAAGCGUUGGCUUUUAAAGUCAGUGCUGAACCUAACGGGAUAAGCUCACCGCCUGGGGAGUAUAGUCGCAAGGCUGAAACUCAAAAGGAUAGGCGGGGGAACACACAAGCAGUGGAUCGUCUCGAUUAAUUGGAUAAUAAGCCAAGAAUCUUACCCGGGCUUGACAUGCUAAGGAAUCUUGCUGAAAGGUGAGAGUGCCCUGAAAAGGGAGCCUUAGUACAGGUGCUGCAUGGCCGUCGUCAGCUCGUGCCGCAAGGUGUCCGGUUAAUUCCGGUAACGAGCGCAACCCUUGCUCCUAGUUAGAGAUGUCUAGGAGGACUGCCGGGGUAACCCGGAGGAAGGAGAGGACGACGUCAGGUCAUCAUGGCCCUUAUGUCCGGGGCGUCAGAGGCGAUACAAUGGGGCGAUACAAACCGAAGCGAAUGGGUGACCUGGAGCAAAUCGGAUAAAACGUCCCCAAGUACGGAUUCAGUCUGGAACUGACUGCAUGAAGUCGGAAUUGCUAGUAAUGGUGGGUCAGCAUACCACCGUGAUAUGUCCCUGUUCCUUGUACUCACCGCCCGU